GGGAGGAUGGCCGGGUUGGUUAUGGCGUGUGACUCAAGAGCUUACUCUCUUAGUUCUUGGCUUCUGAGCACGGAAGCUUGAUUUCUCAUGGGGAAACCCGCGUGGGUUCGAAUCCCACUCCUCUCA
This 126-nucleotide transfer RNA is filed under the name Fonsecaea erecta. It matches the Rfam family "tRNA". From Rfam's summary of the family: Transfer RNA (tRNA) molecules are approximately 80 nucleotides in length. Their secondary structure includes four short double-helical elements and three loops (D, anti-codon, and T loops). The record is from Rfam by way of RNAcentral. Lineage: Eukaryota; Fungi; Ascomycota; Eurotiomycetes; Chaetothyriales; Herpotrichiellaceae.